This 197-nucleotide unclassified non-coding RNA is filed under the name plant metagenome. RNAcentral's name for it is "partial contains small subunit ribosomal RNA, internal transcribed spacer 1, and 5.8S ribosomal RNA". The record is from RNAcentral.
GCUCCGUUGGUGAACCAGCGGAGGGAUCAUUACCGAGUGCAAACUCAUAACCCUUUGUGAACCUAUAUCUGUUGCUUCGGCGGCUCGCUCUCGGGCGAGCCCGCCGGUAAUAUCAGUAUCUCUGUUUGAACCCGACGAUACUUCUGAGUGUUCUUAGCGAACAGUCAAAACUUUUAACAACGGAUCUCUUGGCUCUA